RNAcentral lists this ribosomal RNA (584 nucleotides) under uncultured bacterium. Its description in RNAcentral is "partial 16S ribosomal RNA". It matches the Rfam family "Bacterial small subunit ribosomal RNA", at positions 355 to 1375 of the family's 1533-position model. The record is from RNAcentral.
UGGGGAAUUUUGGACAAUGGGCGAAAGCCUGAUCCAGCAAUGCCGCGUGUGUGAAGAAGGCCUUCGGGUUGUAAAGCACUUUUGUCCGGAAAGAAAUCCUUGGCUCUAAUACAGUCGGGGGAUGACGGUACCGGAAGAAUAAGCACCGGCUAACUACGUGCCAGCAGCCGCGGUAAUACGUAGGGUGCAAGCGUUAAUCGGAAUUACUGGGCGUAAAGCGUGCGCAGGCGGUUUGCUAAGACCGAUGUGAAAUCCCCGGGCUCAACCUGGGAACUGCAUUGGUGACUGGCAGGCUAGAGUAUGGCAGAGGGGGGUAGAAUUCCACGUGUAGCAGUGAAAUGCGUAGAGAUGUGGAGGAAUACCGAUGGCGAAGGCAGCCCCCUGGGCCAAUACUGACGCUCAUGCAUGAAAGCGUGGGGAGCAAACAGGAUUAGAUACCCUGGUAGUCCACGCCCUAAACGAUGUCAACUAGUUGUUGGGGAUUCAUUUCCUUAGUAACGUAGCUAACGCGUGAAGUUGACCGCCUGGGGAGUACGUCGCAAGAUUAAAACUCAAAUGAAUUGACGGGGUCAUAGCUGUUUCCU